This is a long non-coding RNA of Mastomys coucha (southern multimammate mouse), 329 nucleotides long. RefSeq lists it as uncharacterized. The record is from RefSeq and is a predicted model, not a curated record. NCBI's taxonomy places the organism in Eukaryota, Metazoa, Chordata, Mammalia, Rodentia, Muridae. The transcript has 2 exons.
GUUUAUUGCUCAGCGUUGUGUCUGUUGGUGCUUCUUGGGUCCAUUGUCACUGCCUCCGUUUCUUAGAUGCCACCUGCCAUUCCCACAAGAAUGGAAGCCCCUGAGAUCAGAGGCUGCCAUCUGUCAGCCGUACAGUGUGGUAUCUGAGUACCUUCAUGCAAUGUGUAAAGAUCGGAUCAAGGUAAUUGGUACCUCCUGAUAGUUAUCUGGUAUUUAUGGGAGGAACACUGAAAAUCCCCUCUGCAGGCUAUUUUAAAAUAAGUGGUUGUUGUCAACCAUAGUUAACCUACUAUAUGCUACAGAAUAUUAAACACGAUGUUCCUCUCUUA